GGAGGUUCUCGGGUGAUGCACUCCAGAAUCAGCUCCCUCCUUUCUGGUUCUGGACUGUGUCACCCGAGAACCACU
Myotis davidii is the source of this 75-nucleotide non-coding RNA. Lineage: Eukaryota; Metazoa; Chordata; Mammalia; Chiroptera; Vespertilionidae. The record is from Rfam.